AGGGUGUGUAGGCCGACCGCCCCACCCCCCCAAGGUGGUAAAUGGAAUUUUUCUGUAGCGGUAGAAUGUGCGGAUAGAAAAUAGAACCCCAAAAGCUGAAGCAAUUUACCGCGGGGCGGGAGGGGGGGGCCCCCUGGGGCGCCCCCCCGGGCUACGGGCUGAAACACGAGGGUGUGGGGAACAAACAGGAUUAGAGACCCUGGUAGUCCACACUGUAAACGAUGGAGAAAAUGCGAAUGCAGCCCCGAAAGGCAGCAAUCUCCCGCCUGAGUAGUACGAUCGCAAGAUUAAAAUUCCAAAAAUUUGGCUGUUCACCGUUUCGAUUAGAGGAGCGUGUAGUUUAAUUCGAUAAACCGCGAGAUACCUUACCCAAACUUGAAUCCUUGAGGAUUCCAAGGAAUCCUUAUGGACCGGUAUUGCAUGGCCGUCGUCAGUUCGUGUAUGAAACCUUAAACGGACCCAACCCGAGGAUUAGCCGCGGAUGAAGUCAGGUCUUAUGGUCCCAAUGUUUGGGGAUAAUAUGCGCUACAUUUUCUUAUACAAUGGGAAACCUGGGAGGUGAAACCCWAAAGUGAGAGUUCGGUAGGCUAUUGGAAGAUGGCCGAAAG
RNAcentral lists this ribosomal RNA (608 nucleotides) under Cladiella tuberculosa. Its description in RNAcentral is "partial small subunit ribosomal RNA". Lineage: Eukaryota; Metazoa; Cnidaria; Anthozoa; Malacalcyonacea; Cladiellidae. The record is from RNAcentral.